AAUGUCAAAUUCAAAUUUCAAAUCCCCCUCCCACAAAUUCUCACUAACUCUGCAUUAAGUGCACAUGCGGUUUACCAAAAAAAUACAGGUACAAUUAAUCGGUAAUUACCGAGACAUGUUCUUCUUUCAAUAUGCCAACCUCUCCUCUCUGUUCCAAGUUUAUUACCUGAAAUCUCUCUUCUUCCCAUUCUCUCUCUUUUCUCUCUAUAUCUCUCUCACGGAUCAGAAAUCAACUACAUCUCUUUUCUCUCUAUCUCUCUCUCUCACGAAUCAGGAAAGCUUUUGCGUUGGCGGAUUUAGCUGUGGAUGCGUAAUCAUGCGAUCAUUUUGAGAUUUACGUGUUCAAGAUACGAAGAUGUGGAUGUUGAAGGUCACAUGAUUGGACGAAUCAGAAUCUCCCGUUGCGAAAUCGAACACCUCUUCGACGAUGUCACCUCCAGGGUUUUAUUGUAAGAGGGUUUAUAUGUAGAGACUGUCUACCACAAAAUCAGUAUCGGGAAAAGGACUUUAGAGAGUGGAGAAGGACCAGCCUGAACGAAAGAGUUGUUCUUGCUGAGUAAUUCCGGUUCUAUAUUCCAUUGCUAUACUCCAAAAAUGACUAUAACUGAAAAAUAUUGAGUAUCUGCAAUUCCAAUGGAGGAAGAACAUGUCAAGAAUCAAGAUAGUGUUUCACAGUUUGCCCUGCAGCCCCUGAAACUAGAUAGUGGUUACUUAACAACUGAUCCAAUAACUGAUAUUUUUUAGCAGAAACUGUCAUAGAGAAGCUGGCUAUUGAGUAUCUGCAUUUGAGUUUAUUGAAUAAAUGUUAUUUUUGAAAGUUCAAAUCUAAUGUAAUCUAAGAAUUGCAAUUGAGUAAUAUAAAUUUCACACUUUGUAUAAUUUAUUCUCUUCUUCAUUCCAAAUUCAAUUUUUUUUUUCUUUCAAUCCGAUGUUUUGAAACAUUGUUACCGUUCUGAACCAUUUCUGUUUUAUUGUGAUGCAGGCGGUGAUAGUUUUUACAUCAAUUCUUAACUCGAGCAUCUCCAAGCUAAAUAUAUUGAAACUUGCCAUUCUGAUAUGAACAGAUUGUGGGUUUCUCUUCUUUUUUUGUUUAUUCGAAUUAUUUACCCCCAAAUUUUCAUUGAUUUUUUUAAAAAAAUAUUUUCCCCUUAUUUUGAAGUGGAUUGUCGGUGAACAUUCAAGUGAUAUCUAUGAAUCACAUAUUGGAUACAACCUUUUACUUGCUAGAUUGACAUGUAGUUUAUUUGGCGCGGGUCCCGCUGUCAUUUUGGGAUCUUUUCUGGUGGUUGUUGUGCAGGUUUUUGGUGGUUUCGGGCUGCUAUCAUGGUGCUGUUGGCUGCUGUCUUGGUGCUAUCAUAGUCCUGUUGGCGGCUCUCUUGCUGGUUUCGAUUGCUGGCUGGCAUCUAGAGGGUUGGCGGUUGCAGCUGUUUGGCUGUUUUCUGCGGCUGUCAGCUGGGUUAGCAGCUACUGUCCACCGUUUUUCUGCUAUUUUUUUGGGUGCUUUGCUGCACUAGGGGGCUGGUUGUUGCACAUGUUGCGUUUAGGGACAACUCACAUGUUUGGUUGUUGGUUUUAAUGAAACCUACAACCCAUUUUUAGUUAAGUUUUGAUGAAAAAUCUAAUGCCUCUUCAUUUCUUUUUUAGUCUGCUGAAUAUGUGCAUUUUCUUGACAGAAUUAUGCUGUAACAACAAUAAACAAAUAAAUAUUUGGAGGGGUAAUUUGUGGUUUAUCACCUAAGAAAGUCAGAGUUGAAUAUGAUACUAAAUGUGCCUCUACUGUUAUGGUUGUUGAAGGAAAAUGAGUUUCUCGAAAAUGCAACAUAAACCGCAAUGCAAUGAUAGUUUUGGUUUUCAUGUGGCGAUUGUAAUACUUGAGUUUCCUAACAAUGCUCAAUGAUUUCUUUCUGCUGCUACUGUCUAGGACCAGAAAGAACUUUUACUCAUAUAUAUCCAAUUGUACCGAACAACACUGCAGCAUUAUUUUGUCCAUAUGAAAUUGAGUUUUUAUGUAUCCAAUUGUACUGAACAAUGGUGUUUUCUUCAUAAAGGUAAAGAAUACGUCAUAGGACCUGCAUCAGUAUCUUAAUCAAAGGUGUAUGAGCUCAAUAGUUUUUUAGUCCCCUAUAGUUGUUAAAUUGAUAAAUGAUGUUUUCUUAACUUUUUAUAGUGAAAAAAUAUCAUGUUUGAGAUGAGGAGAGCAGUUAAUGUGCCAUUUGUCUCAUUUAGUACUCAUGGCUCUCAAAAUGUUAUUUAUAUUUCUCUUAACUAGGGAUGAAUGUCAUGUGUUCUUUGGCUGCCAAUAUGCCGAUGAAGUAUGAUGAAUGGCUGGUGCAAAAGAUGCAGAAUUUGAUCAUGAGGCGCUGUUUUUUUUAUUUAUUUUAAGUUUUCUUUCCUAUUAUGCAGGGACUGUGCAGGAUCGGAAAACCUUUGCAGUGAUGUUUUAGUGCAUAUGGCGUCGUUGAAAUGAAAAAGUCUGGUACAAUCAAACAAAGAAGCAACAAUUUCAGUUCAGGACUCGCGUGAAGUGCAAUCUGAUUGGCAGCAGCAGCACGCUAAGCACACAGCAUCAGCUGCAAACAGCAGCACUGACAAUUUUAGCAGCGCUAUUGGAGUUCCAAGGUGGACUGAGCCAGCAAAUAGAGAUAUAAAAUGCAAUGUCGACAGAACGUCUCUUUCACAGUUACCAUAUUUAUCAUAUAACCAUAUAAUCUUCAUAACUUAAAGAGUGGCAAUCACCGCUAUUUCGGAACAAAUUUUUAUUGUGUUAUUCUUCAAUGCAAAAUCACCGAUAUUUAGGACGAGAAUUUUGCUGUGUUAUUCUUCAAUGUAAAAUCACCGCUAUUCAGGAACAUAUAUUUUAACCGUUAUUCUUUAAUGUAAAAUCACCGCUAUUUAGGCUAAGAUUUUUACUCUCUUCAAUGUAAAAUCAUUUCUAUUUAGGAUAAGAUUUUUACUGUGUCA
Long non-coding RNA from Medicago truncatula (barrel medic), 2961 nucleotides. RefSeq lists it as uncharacterized. The transcript is spliced from 3 exons. The record is from RefSeq and is a predicted model, not a curated record. NCBI's taxonomy places the organism in Eukaryota, Viridiplantae, Streptophyta, Magnoliopsida, Fabales, Fabaceae.